CCAUAAUUUUCGCAAGGCUGAGUGUGCAUGUGAUAGGCACUGACACGUCUGGAAAAGCAAGUGCCUCUUCGAUAUCUGGAAUCGGCGCUUCGACAAACUGCCCGUGAUUUCCGCAAAGCGGAGUGUGCAUGUGAUAGAUGAUGACACGUUUAGAAAAGCAGAUGCCUCUCCGAUUUCUGAGCUUGCCUCUUCGAGUUCUGAGCUCCGUCGAGUGCAGAGGUUGCAUGUGACAAGUGCGGACAAAUCUGGAAAAGAAGAUUGGCCCGUGGUUUCUGAGCAAGCCCAACUUUUGAGAAAGCUAGUGCCUCUUCGAUUUUUGAAUUGGCCUCUUCGAUUUCUAAGCUCGCCUCUUCGAUCUCUGAAAUCCCGUCGAGUGCUGG
This 380-nucleotide long non-coding RNA is filed under the name Malus domestica (apple). RNAcentral describes it as "long non-coding RNA (MDOM_LNC020230)". Lineage: Eukaryota; Viridiplantae; Streptophyta; Magnoliopsida; Rosales; Rosaceae. The record is from RNAcentral.